CCAUUGCAGUGUCCUGCCAAGAACAUGAUCAUAUCGGCAGGACAAUGCAAUGGGCAGCCUGAGUUCUUCAGAAUAGAAAGCGUGUUGAUCCAUUCUUCCAAAGUGUCCUUUAUAACAAAAAGGGUUUCUGUCUGUGUGGGAUCAAAAGUGUUCAAGACCCUGAGGACCUAUUUGCAGCAUUAAAUGUCCUUUACAAUGCCUUUGCUACUACGAGUCAUCAUUUCCUCCACUGAAGCCCGGCGAGUCCAGCUUCCUGAAGUGCCUGAAUCAGUGGAAUCUCUCAUCAAUAUUCUUCAAGAGAAGCUGCAACUACAAGGACAGUUUUGCCUUAAGUUUGAGGAUGCUGAUUUUGGCAAUGCACUUUGUAACCUGUCUGACAUCUCAGAAUUGCCCAGUGGAAAAGCAGUCUUGCAUAUUCAGUGGUGCAAGUCAUCAGUUUAUGAAACCAGUAGCCUUCCAUCAGUUUCAUCACUUGAUACUGCUAGU
Molecule: long non-coding RNA, 486 nt
Organism: Danio aesculapii
Lineage: Eukaryota; Metazoa; Chordata; Actinopteri; Cypriniformes; Danionidae
Exons: 3
Source: RefSeq, a predicted model, not a curated record